Pelmatolapia mariae (spotted tilapia) is the source of this 527-nucleotide long non-coding RNA. RefSeq lists it as uncharacterized. The record is from RefSeq and is a predicted model, not a curated record. Lineage: Eukaryota; Metazoa; Chordata; Actinopteri; Cichliformes; Cichlidae. The transcript has 3 exons.
CUGUCGCACAGACUGCUGCAGCGCAAAACAACAUUACUGGGCACGGUGAAUAAAGUCCGGCGUGAACUUCCUCAACUUGCAAAAGAUACUGCAAAGCGAGAGUUCCAUGCACCAAGACGUGACGAUCGGUGACGGCAGAAAGAGGAAACCCAACACGAUAACAGACUAUAACCACAUGAAGUGUGGUGUAGACGUGUUGGACCAAAUGGCAUGGAUGUAUUCCGUAAGAGCAGCAACACGCAGGUGGCCAGUAGCGGUUUUCUACAAUAUGCUGGACCUGGCGGCAGUGAAUGCCUACAUUUUGUACAAGGCAUGUACAGGGUGGACAGGCAAAAGAAGAUUGUUUCUGAGUCUUCUAGCUCAGCAACUUCGUUGCCGAUUCAUGCAGCACAAGGAAAUAUUACAACGCAGACAACGCAGUGCCAGGUGCAAGAGAGCUGCAACAGGAAUCGCAGCAGGUUUACCUGUGCAACAUGUCAGAAAUUCACCUGUGCCAAAUGCAGGUAUGAUGGACACUGGGUCUGCAA